UCAUGGACAUGAGUAGGUAGGAAAUCUGAAGGUGAAGCAAAGAAGAACCAACGCCGGCGGUUGCGGUCCGACCUUUUGCGACGGCCUUUUGCGUUGCAACCUCGAUGGCGGCCGGAUCUCCGACUACAGUUCUAUGUCUGCACUGUAAAUGUCACUUUCAGGUCUGAAAAACAUGGUCUGCCUAAUCGCUGGCUGAUUCAACGGCUGUAGUAUGAGAAGCCUUUUUAGAUGGAUUUGACUUCGUUGCAGUGUUGUGGGUCCGGAUCCGAAUCCGGCAUAUGAAGCUGAAUUUCCCUAAGUUAGCAAGUGGAAAGUGCACCAUAUUAUGUUGAAAAGCUUGCACGUUGCUGCCGGCAUUUUGCUAGGCUAAGUUGGCCGGACCUUGACUGCGGCCGCUUUGGCACGCACCCGGCCUGUGGGCCUAGGCCAACGGGAUAUAGGUCAACUUGAUCAUGUACAUGUGAUAGUAUGAUAAUGGGAUAAGAUCUACCUCUUGAUCAA
Nymphaea colorata (pocket water lily) is the source of this 501-nucleotide long non-coding RNA. RefSeq lists it as uncharacterized. NCBI's taxonomy places the organism in Eukaryota, Viridiplantae, Streptophyta, Magnoliopsida, Nymphaeales, Nymphaeaceae. The transcript has 2 exons. The record is from RefSeq and is a predicted model, not a curated record.